Molecule: ribosomal RNA, 301 nt
Filed under: uncultured bacterium
Lineage: Bacteria
Description: partial 16S ribosomal RNA
Rfam family: Bacterial small subunit ribosomal RNA
Source: RNAcentral
CAGCAGCCGCGGUAAUACGUAGGGUGCGAGCGUUAAUCGGAAUUACUGGGCGUAAAGCGGGCGCAGACGGUUACUUAAGCAGGAUGUGAAAUCCCCCGGCUCAACCUGGGAAUUGCGUUCUGAACUGGGUGGCUAGAGUGUGUCAGAGGGGGGUAGAAUUCCACGUGUAGCGGUGAAAUGCGUAGAGAUGUGGAGGAAUACCGAUGGCGAAGGCAGCCCCCUGGGAUAGCACUGACGUUCAUGCCCGAAAGCGUGGGUAGCAAACAGGAUUAGAUACCCCUGUAGUCCCUGUCUCUUAUAC